Molecule: ribosomal RNA, 460 nt
Filed under: uncultured bacterium
Lineage: Bacteria
Description: partial 16S ribosomal RNA
Rfam family: Bacterial small subunit ribosomal RNA
Source: RNAcentral
CCUACGGGAGGCAGCAGUGAGGAAUAUUGGUCAAUGGGCGCGAGCCUGAACCAGCCACGUAGCGUGAAGGAUGACUGCCCUACGGGUUGUACACUUCUUUUAUAAAGGGAUAAAGUGCGGCACGGGUGACUUUUUGUCUGUACUUUAUGAAUAAUGAUCGGCUAAUUCCGUGCCAGCAGCCGCGGUAAUACGGAGGGACCGAGCGUUAUCCGGAUUUAUUGGGUUUAAAGGGAGCGUAGAGGGGUUGUUAAGUCAGUUGUGAAAGUUUGCGGCUCAACCGUAAAAUUGCAUUUGAUACUGGCAGUCUUGAGUACAGUUGAGGUAGGCGGAAUUCGUGGUGUAGCGGUGAAAUGCUUAGAUAUCACGAAGAACUCCGAUUGCGAAGGCAGCUUACUAAACUGCCACUGACAUUGAUGCUCGAAAGUGUGGGUAUCAAACAGGAUUAGAUACCCGAGUAGUC